Molecule: ribosomal RNA, 439 nt
Filed under: uncultured bacterium
Lineage: Bacteria
Description: partial 16S ribosomal RNA
Rfam family: Bacterial small subunit ribosomal RNA
Source: RNAcentral
CUACGGGAGGCAGCAGUGAGGAAUAUCGCACAAUGGGGGGAACCCUGAUGCAGCAACGCCGCGUGGAGGAUGAAGAAUUUCGGUGUGUAGAGGUCGGGUCUCUGUCCAGCCCCUGACGGUCGCAUAUGAAUAAGCACCGGCUAACUCCGUGCCAGCAGCCGCGGUAAUACGGAGGGUGCAAGCGUUACUCGGAAUCACUGGGCGUAAAGGACGCGUAGGCGGGUUGGAAAGUCAGGUGUGAAAUCCUACAGCUUAACUGUAGAACUGCACUUGAAACUUCUAAUCUAGAGUAUGGGAGGGGGAGAUGGAAUUAGUGGUGUAGGGGUAAAAUCCGUAGAUAUCACUAGGAAUACCUAAAGCGAAGGCGAUCUCCUGGAACAUUCCUGACGCUAAGGCGUGAAAGCGUGGGGAGCAAACAGGAUUAGAUACCCUUGUAGUC